ACUCUUUUUUAGAUUCCUUUCCCAUAUAGGCCAUUACAGAGUAUUGAGUAGAGUUCCCUGUGCUACACAGCAGGUCCUUAUUAGUGGCUUGUGGGAGUUUAAUAUUGGUUGCAAAGAGAAGCUGAGCAGUGCAUUCAAUGGCUACAUGUAGUCACCCGUUUUCAAGUUUAUUUGUUCAGUGCAUCGGUUGGUUCUUAGUUCUUAAAUACUUGGUACCCAUCCAUCAUUCAUGCCUUAAUAAUUUUAAUACACUAACACUGUAUCUCAGUCUGGACUCACCUAAGCAGAAAUCAGGCUUCACUGAAAGAGUACAAAGGGUGUUUGCUGAAGAAUAAAGGAGGAGGCAAAGGAGUAGGUAAUCUUGAAGGCAGUUCAUUUCCCAGGAGGAUAGGCCCCGGGUGGGCCACACAGUGGGACCUACCACGCAGCCAGAAGGAUGUGGUAAAUGCACUGGGAAACUGAAUAGAAAAGUAAGGGACAAGGUGCCUAAAAACGUUUCUCCUUGGCAGUAUUGCUGCCUGAAGUUCCUACAACCUAAACCAGUUAGCGAGAGGCUUUUUCCAAAAAAUUACGAUCAACCUGCCCCAUCAUCCUACUUUGAAAAGCCUGGAGUAACAGAACAAGGAGAGCAAAAUGGAUUUAUCUAGCAGUUCGUCACAUACGACCAACUCCAGGGGACACGGGUUCGAGCCCUGCUCCGGGAAGAUCCCGCAUGCCGCGGAGCAACUAAGCCCGUGUGCCACAACUACUGAAGCCCGUGCUCCUUAGCGAGAAGCCACCACAAUGAGAAGCUGGCGCAUCACAGUGAAGAGGAGCCCCACGCCGCAGCUAGACAAAGCCCGCACGCAGCAACGAAGACCCAAUGCAGCCAAAAAUAAAUUAAUUAAUUAAUUAA
Aethalodelphis obliquidens (Pacific white-sided dolphin) is the source of this 895-nucleotide long non-coding RNA. RefSeq lists it as uncharacterized. The transcript has 2 exons. NCBI's taxonomy places the organism in Eukaryota, Metazoa, Chordata, Mammalia, Artiodactyla, Delphinidae. The record is from RefSeq and is a predicted model, not a curated record.